Manihot esculenta (cassava) is the source of this 512-nucleotide long non-coding RNA. RefSeq lists it as uncharacterized. The record is from RefSeq and is a predicted model, not a curated record. The transcript has 2 exons. Lineage: Eukaryota; Viridiplantae; Streptophyta; Magnoliopsida; Malpighiales; Euphorbiaceae.
GAUCAUGGCAGUCUUUCCUUCUCUUCCGUUGGCUAUUAAAUGGCUCAGGGACAGCGUCUAUCAAAAUCGAUCUGUUCGCAUUCAGGUCCUUGUUACUGGCUCAUUACAUCUUGUGGGUGACGUGCUGAGAUUAGUCAAAUAGUGAGACAUGGGGCCUAGUUGAAGCUGUCCAGUUGCAUGCUUGGGAUAUAGAAGGCAAGCUGGUUAUAAAAGAUUUUGAUCAUUCUCUGGCAGCGCUUGUCAAUUGUGCUCCCACAAAUGUGAUAUGCUGUUGAUUUUCUGUGUUGUGUAUUUGAGGAGCUGUUUAAACUUCAGUGAAUUUUGACAAUGAAUUGGCAGAAACUUUAAAAUUUUUGUCUUUAUUUUAUCUGUAACCAGGCCAUUGGGGAAACAGGAACAAUUCUUGUAAUGAACUACAAAUCACUUCCAAGGCAGAAUUCUUGUUCUUCCCUUUCUGAAAAUCAUGUAACAAACUCAUUGUUUAAUAUAAUAAAUUUGUUCUUGGGUAUGAA